RNAcentral lists this ribosomal RNA (369 nucleotides) under uncultured Pseudomonas sp. RNAcentral describes it as "bacterial SSU rRNA". It matches the Rfam family "Bacterial small subunit ribosomal RNA", at positions 1014 to 1382 of the family's 1533-position model. The record is from RNAcentral. Lineage: Bacteria; Pseudomonadati; Pseudomonadota; Gammaproteobacteria; Pseudomonadales; Pseudomonadaceae.
UACUUCUUCGGACAAUAUACAAGGUGCUGCAUGGUUGUCGUCAGCUCGUGCCGUGAGGUGUUGGGUUAAGUCCCGUAACGAGCGCAACCCUUGUCCUUAGUUACCAGCACGUUAUGUGGGCACUCUAAGGAGACUGCCGGUGGACAAACCGGAGGAAGGUGGGGAUGACGUCAAGUCAUCAUGGCCCUUACGGCCUGGGCUACACACGUGCUACAAUGGUCGGUACAAAGGGUUAGCCAAGCCGCGAGGUGGAGCUAAUCCCAUAAAACCGAUCGUAGUCCGGAUCGCAGUCUGCAACUCGACUGCGUGAAGUCGGAAUCGCUAGUAAUCGUGAAUCAGAAUGUCACGGUGAAUACGUUCCCGGGCCUU